Non-coding RNA from Schistosoma rodhaini, 45 nucleotides. The record is from Rfam. Lineage: Eukaryota; Metazoa; Platyhelminthes; Trematoda; Strigeidida; Schistosomatidae.
UAAGUGGUUUUUCUGAAAACCAUACAUUCUAUAAAUAAAACCAAA